RNAcentral lists this unclassified non-coding RNA (3522 nucleotides) under Dermacentor andersoni. Its description in RNAcentral is "actin-related protein 2/3 complex subunit 1A-A-like". The record is from RNAcentral. Lineage: Eukaryota; Metazoa; Arthropoda; Arachnida; Ixodida; Ixodidae.
CAAUAUAUGAGUCGUUUUUUUUUUUUGUCGCAAGAACCGUGGAGGCAAGCUCCCCGGUCAACGAAACUCGCUUGAUUUUCUUCAACAUUCGGCACCCGUUUUCAUGUCUAAGCUGCCGGACGCAAAGUGACACCUCCACUCUUGGGCCAUGGAUGUACACUGUUUUGGCGUAGAACCAAUCACCUGCCACGCAUGGAACAAGGAUCAUACAGAGGUGGCACUGUGUCCCAACAAUGCGGAUGUGCAACUCUACAAGCGAGAGGCGGGUGGAGGAUGGUCACGGGGGCAGACGCUCAGCCGGCACGACCUGCGAGUGACCAGCAUCGACUGGGCGCCACACAGUAACCGCAUUGUGACGUGUGCUGCAGAUCGCAAUGCGUACGUCUGGACCCUGGGCUCAGAGGAGCCUGGCACCAAUGCCACGGUGUGGACCCCCACCUUGGUGCUGCUGCGAAUCAACCGUGCUGCCACCUGUGUUCGGUGGUCGCCCCUUGAGAACAAGUUUGCAGUGGGGUCAGGUGCCAAGCUGGUGUCAGUGUGCUACUUUGAGGAGGACCACAACUGGUGGGUGAGCAAGCACAUCAAGAAGCCCAUCAAGUCAACUGUCACCUCGGUCGACUGGCACCCCAACAACUGCCUGCUUGCCUGUGGCUCCACCGACUUCCGCACCAGGGUGUUCUCUGCGUAUAUCAAGGAGGUGGACAGUACUCCUCAGGCGACACCCUGGAACGACAAGACCACCUCGUUUGGCAGUCUAGUGGCUGAACUUUCUGCCAGUGGCAUUGGCUGGGUUCACUCAGUGUGCUUCUCGGGCGAUGGCACUCGGCUGGCCUGGGUUGGCCACGACUCCAGCGUGUGCGUCGCGGACGCCCAGCGGGGGCAGGCCAUCACUUGCGUGCGCACCCAAUACCUGCCAUUCCUCUCCUGUCUCUGGGUCUCCCCCACGAGGCUGCUGCUGGCCGGUUACGACUGCUACCCCAUGGUGUACGAGUACAGCAAUGGCCAGCUAAGCUUUGUUGACAAACUGGACAAAUCACAGCGCAAGGAGGUGGAUGGCGUCAGCGUUAAUGUGGUAACCUCCGGAAGCAGCCAGCACAGCUCGGCAGAUGAUGACCCCGAAGUUAUCAGCCCAGCUGCGUAUUGCCAUGCGCAAGUUCCUCAACAUGGACAAGCAUGCGAUGGAGAGCAGAGGUGACACCCUGCUGGAUACGGCGCACCAGAAUGCCAUCACCCUGGUGACUUUGGUGCAGGGUGAGCGGGACAAUGCGACACGUGUCUGCACCCAGGGCAUGGAUGGCAGACUCAUCCUGUGGGACAUUAAGACUCUGCAGUCCUCCAUGGAAAGCAUGCGCAUUGUCUGACCUCCGGCCAUCGCAGUAGCUGACCAAGAAUGUGGCCGGAAUGGGCCACUCUACCGGUCUAAUGUUGGCAAAGGACAGGAAGUGUGCGUGUGACCCUGCCGGAAAGGCAGAGGACAGACAGCAACACCCUUGUGGUCCACGACAGUGAGGCAGUGUCUUCCAUGCGGACGACGAGCCAAACCAGACAGCUUCCAUGCAGACACACUGCUGCCCAAGGCACCUGCAUCAAGGGAGGGCUGUGUUGAUUUCGUUUAAGUCGAUAACUUAAUGAGGACAUUGUUUACUGAAUCGAUCAUUUGUUUUGUUGGGGACUGUUGCCUGUGAGAGUGUUUUUUUUUUUUCCAUCCCUUUUUUACUCUUUUUUUCUUUUUCCCCGACUGUGGUAUGUCUUCAAUGCUCUGUAAUCUGUUUUCUUCACCAUCUUCUUGGUAUAUGCAAGAUCAUUUGUGGGAAUUGUGUGAAGGACACACUCCUCCAAUUUUAUGGAAACUCUUUUUGCAGUUUCAGACAUCUGCAUUCAGCCAGUACUGUUCCUCCUCUUUGGUGAUGCUAUUUGUGAUGUUGAAUAAAGAAGUAAGUGCUACAUGCAAAAAAACAAUUGCAUGUUGUUUUAACAAAAGAAAAAGCCUUAAGAUAUGGUCUACAGGCUCACAACUGAGCACCGUUAGUGCUGGCAAAAAUAUUUUGUAGAACUGUUAUAGCCAGGCUAUUCUCUACUUGUGUGUCAUAGAACAUAAGAUCCACGCUUCCAGAAUGGAUUCCUAAGUCUGCAUUCCAGAGUACUCUUAUCCAAAUUUCAUAGCAAAAAGUGUUUUAUUCAUAGCAAAAAUCCUCACAGGCAUCUAAUGCUGGAAACAACGUUUACACUUAUGUGGUUACUGAAACAAGAUUUGCUUCAUUUUCGCUACAGCUUUGAAGAAAAGUUUGCAUUUGAUGCCUUGCUGGGCCCACUUUAAUCCUUUAACCUCCAAAUUUAUUCUAGAGAAAUGAACCAAAUUUCCCAAACUUUCUAAUGUUGUCAUACAUUUUUCUACGUCAUUCUGAAAAUGUAUUGAUUGAUUGGUUUCUGGUCAGAAUUAACUCAAAAAGAAAGGAAAUGCUGCUCUUGAGGGCAUCUUUCCCUCAAAGCCACCCUUAACUUGUCUUUGGCAGUGGGAGCAGCACAGCAUCGCGCUGAAUGAAUGUGAGCCGUCAUUAGCGAUGUUGGUACAACCUCCCGUGACGAGUACAGCUCGGGAUUGGGGAUUAAAGGGUUAAUGAGUUCUAUGGAAGCACUAAAGACAGUGCACUUUACAAAAAAAAAAAAAAAUGUUUCAUGUCUGUCUCAUGCCAUAAUUAGACACUCUUUUAACCUGCAGAAGCAACAUAGCGUUUCUUGAACCUCCAGCUGAGCCAUAUGUUGCAGAGCAAGGCAAGACUGUGUUGUGAAAGGGAUAAGUUCAUCCCGGUGGACGAGCUUGCUGAUGAAUCUGUGACAUCACAGGAAAUUCAUAGGCUUCCUUCCAACAAAAAGCAUUCGUACGUAGAAUGAAGGAGAUGAAGGAUCAGACAAAAUAGACAAAUUGCUGUUAGAAAGUCUGGGAAAUGCCAUUCCUGAACAGCUGCAUCAGGAAUUCCUGUGCCAAGAUUGAUUAGGAAAAGAGCGAUGUACUGGCCGAAAGCCACUGCCUGCCAAUUUUUGUGUGGCUGCCUUUAAAAAGAACUGCACCUCAGUUGUCCGACGCAAUGUAUUGUCUUGCCUUCAAUUCACGUCUGCUACCUGCCAGCACCGCAAAGUAAAAUGGCACCCUGAGCAGAGGUAAUGCCGCAAUAUUAUUUUUUUCCUUUUUCUUAUUUGCCAGUGGUUUAAGUGACACUCCACCUGUGUUAUCACUACAAUGAGCUGGUUGUGAGCAGUGAGUGAUAAGAAAGGAAUAGAACUGCAUAAAAGGAAUCCUUACAUAAUAUUGGCCCCGAUUUAGUGGACUUUCAUUAGGGGUGAAUGUAGAUUGGUUGCCACAACUUGUUGAUAUCACGACAUGAUGCACCAUCGGCUCUAUAAAUUGACAACUGGCACCAUUGUGUGAAUCCACGAUUAUGCAAUAGGUGGAGAGCACAUACCUGUUGUAAAUUGACCAGUGCAAAAUGUAUCUGGGAGUAUGAAACAAAAGAGCUUGCAUUA